RNAcentral lists this non-coding RNA (882 nucleotides) under Pan troglodytes (chimpanzee). The record is from RNAcentral. Lineage: Eukaryota; Metazoa; Chordata; Mammalia; Primates; Hominidae.
GAUGUGGAAGCUCUUUGGAAACCAAGAAACACUCUGCAAAUGAAAAGGGUGGAAGAGUAAACUGUUCCUGUUUCUCCAUCUUGACAGGAAGCAGAAGUUCUCCUUAGCUGAUUUUUCUUCUUGCCUUAUACUGGGUUCUUUAACACCAGAACAAAAAUAAAUAAAUAAAAGAAUCUUCCAGAAAUUCAUGAAGAGACUUCAGGUCAGGAAAGCCUGAACUUUCUCAUCCAACACCUGUUCAAGUCGGAGGAUGCUGAUUAAUUCAUGAUGGAAAGGUAUCAAUUUCACAGCCCAGACCUCUACAUUCUUGAAAUGCUCUUCUCAUGGGAGACAUUAAAUAAGCUUUGAAUUAACUGAAGAACCAAUGAUGUGAUCCCUGGAUACUGGCAAUUGUUGCCCAAGAAACCCUCUCCCCUUGCUAUGGGAGUGCUGGGCACCCAAAUAAUGCACCCAAAUAAUUUGAUAGCUCUUGUUACACAACUCUUCUUGGACUAAAAGGCCCUCAGCAUUCCUGUCAAUUUCUACACUCCUGAAGCUUCAUCUGGAGACCUCUGUGGAUUCUAUAACUCAAAGACCCAGGCUGACGGCUGGUGGAAUAGCUACCAUCUCAAACAUGGCGUGAUGCUGCAUCAGAGAGAAAAAUAAGCUCUUGCAUUGACAAUGAAAUGUCUACCCUGUAGUGACUUGUGCUUACUUCCACUCACAAGUGAUUGCCCAGAGCUACUUACCUGGCUCCAAUCUACCACUGGGUGUGUACUUGCAAUCUACCAUGUACCUAGAAGAUGAGAGAAACAAAUUAUUAAUGAUGACCACACCCCAAGACUAACAACAAGUUGCAGAAGAAUCAAUGACUUAAACAAAAAUGUGGCCAUUGAAGGAAUA